GUAGGUGGCGAGCGUUGUUCGGAUUUAUUGGGCGUAAAGGGUCUGUAGGAGGUUUGUUAAAUACGGGGUGAAAUCCGGGAGCUCAACUCCCGAACUGCCCUGUAGACUGACAGACUAGAGUACCGGAGAGGUAAGCGGAAUACCAAGUGUAGCGGUGGGAUGCGUAGAUAUUUGGUAGAACACCAACAGCGAAGGCAGCUUACUGGCCGGCAACUGACUCUGAAAGACGAAAGCAUGGGGAGCAAACAGGAUUAGAUACCCUGGUAGUCCAUGCCGUAAACGUUGUCAACUUGAUGUGGGUGGAUUUAGUCCUAUCCGUAUCGAAGCCAACGCGAUAAGUUGACCGCCUGGGGACU
Molecule: ribosomal RNA, 356 nt
Filed under: uncultured bacterium
Lineage: Bacteria
Description: bacterial SSU rRNA
Rfam family: Bacterial small subunit ribosomal RNA
Source: RNAcentral